CCGCACCUCAAGUGGUCAGGAUGAUUAUUGGGCCUAAAGCAUCCGUAGCCGGCGCUGUAAGUUUUCGGUUAAAUCUGUACGCUCAACGUACAGGCUGCCGGGAAUACUGCAGCGCUAGGGAGUGGGAGAGGUAGACGGUACUCGGUAGGAAGGGGUAAAAUCCUUUGAUCUAUUGAUGACCACCUGUGGCGAAGGCGGUCUACCAGAACACGUCCGACGGUGAGGGAUGAAAGCUGGGGGAGCAAACCGGAUUAGAGACCCGAGUAGUCC
Molecule: ribosomal RNA, 270 nt
Filed under: uncultured archaeon
Lineage: Archaea
Description: partial 16S ribosomal RNA
Rfam family: Archaeal small subunit ribosomal RNA
Source: RNAcentral